This is a long non-coding RNA of Vulpes vulpes (red fox), 1704 nucleotides long. The record is from Ensembl. NCBI's taxonomy places the organism in Eukaryota, Metazoa, Chordata, Mammalia, Carnivora, Canidae.
CUGAAUUGCGAAAGGCUUCCUGCUUUAACUGUUGCUUCAAUGCCAUUCCCAGAGCCCAGCUGUUAGAACUGAUAUUCACCUUUAAAUUAGUAGAGAUAAAUAGGUUUCACUAAUGUUCGUAUUUCUUGGUUUAGAUAUACUUGAGCCUUACUGUUGGAAAAGCGAAAGUGGCCUUGAAGAGAAACUUACACCAAGGACAGAAUGACAAAUAGGAGAAACCCAUGCUUAGGAAUACAAUUCUACAAAAAAAAGAAAAAAAAAAUCUGUCAAACCUCCAGAAAAGCAGAUGAUAAAGGAAGAUUGUCAGUAAAAAGGAUUCAAACAACGAGAUUGUAGCCUGAGAAGAGAAGGACCAGGAGCACACUCCAUCGAGCAGUCACAGUCAAGUGUGUAAGUGGCAGGACAGGAGGACACUGUCCCGAAGGACCACCCAGUGUCCCCUUCGCCAAGAAAUCACCUUGAGAACUGGACCUGAGAAGGAGAUCCAUGAAGGGAACAUACUUGAAUCUUCUGGUUUCCUGGAGCCCAGACUGACCCAGCACAGUUACAGCUGCCCAUUGCCCAUUAGGCCUGUGGCUGUGAGCCUUGGGCAGACUCCUGUUCAGAUGAACUUCUAUGCUUCUCUUCAUUUAAACAAAAAACAAACCGGAUUGAUGUUUUUGUUUUACUCUUACCACCAAAGAAAAUUGUUUCAACUUGUUUAAAGUGCUUCCCAGGGCAAUGAUAUCUAACAAAAGAUCAUUUGUAAGGGAUUCAUUUCAAAAUGCAUGGCCUUGCUGUAAUGUCCACUAUAGAGAAAGAUCUUAGCUUAAAUUAUACCACAGCUAUUUUAAAUGGAUUUUUAAAUUAUCUACCUUUGCAUUUCAUCAUGAAUGUUUCAGGGAAAUUAUCCUGAGAUAAUGCCAACAAAUGGCUGCAGACUUUAGGUUUAUAAUUGCUCUUGUUCAUUUAAGGUUCCCAGCAGACCAUAUCAGGAAAUUCAAUGCCUGGCAAGUCGAGGUUGAUAAUAUACCGUAACUGGCAUUUUCUUAUUAGACGAGCACCCAAAUCAGCUUUCAUUUGUAGCAAUGACCCUAAUUAAGAGAAUCAUGAUUUAAAGCCGAGUCUUUGCAUUUUAAGAAUCAGAUCUGGAUAUGGUGAUGUUAGCCAAAGCGUUAUUUUUUUCCUAGAAAAUUGGCAUAAUCUAACUUUAAUUUUAAUUUUUCAAAAGUAUUUCACAUAUUUUUUUUCAAUUCCACUUUGAGAAGCUUCCUUCAAGCUGCUGAGUAUGUAUAUGAAUAGGUAAAAAUGUUUACCUACACAUCUUCCUUAUACAUAUGCAUACAUACUUCUGUCUUCACUAAAUGAUUUGGCUUUGGAGCUGCAAGAGAUGUGAGUAAAAGAAUCACUUAAUGUGAUCUCCACCAUCCCCACUCUCAUAAGUGGAAAAACUGAGGACUUGGAAACUAAGGUAGUUUGCUUUGGAUCAUCAGAUGGCAAAGCCUCUUGAUGAGAUGUAUAACCCCUCCCCCAAAAAGUACCUCUGAAAGAUAUUAUGUGUGGUAUAAGUUAAUGUCCCUGACUUUUCUUAAUUUACCCGGUCAACAGAAAUCAUUCAUUGCUAUGGGCCACAAAUGUGAUCACCCUAAAAUUUUAUAACAUUACUCUAAGGGACCAUUAUUACCAUAAAAUUAUCUCGUAGCAGAGUGUAAGGAUCUUUAAAUA